AUGGUUAAGCCAAAAAAAGAGAAAAUAGCGAAUAAAUGUGUUCCGACCGGCGAAAUAGUUGAUAAAAAAGCGCAGGAAUCAGCGAUUUUCUCCGAUACUGAAGGUCGAAUCGGACUGCAUAUUCACGCAAAACCGGGCGCCAAGAAGAGUUGUGUUGUAGCAAUCGGAGAUUCGGAAGUUGAUGUAGCAAUUGGCGCAGCGCCACGCGAAGGAGCAGCCAAUGAGGAGCUCAUUUCAUAUUUAAUGAGUGCUUUGGGUCUUCGAAAAAAUGAAUUACAAUUUGAUAAGGGAGCAAAGUCAAGAAGCAAAGUGGUGCUGAUAGACACAAAACGAUUGACCAUUGACGAAGUACGGAAGAAGUUGCAGGAAGAAAUCGACAACUGAUUCUGCACACUUGAUAAGUUCACCCCAAAAGGACGGAAAUUUGUUGGAUGUUCUACUAAUUGUCUAGUCAAAGCCAUUGUUAACAUUUCCGAAUACUCAACCAGCUGCACUCAAAUCCAAGAAGAAGCGUUCAAAUCACACGUCGAUUGCUAUCUCAAUUGUAAUUUCUGUGAAGUGUGCAAAACCGAAAAACUCGCAUUCCUUGGAAGUUACGAUUGGACAGAUUUUCUAAGUUAUGCUGCCGUUAAACAAGUUCUUGCAAUUAUUCGUAAAUGUGGUAUAUUUAGUUGUUUGAAAGUGUUUGAUGUUUAA
Molecule: unclassified non-coding RNA, 696 nt
Filed under: Caenorhabditis elegans
Lineage: Eukaryota; Metazoa; Nematoda; Chromadorea; Rhabditida; Rhabditidae
Description: Non-coding transcript of protein-coding gene W01A8.2b
Source: RNAcentral